AGAGUUUGAUCCUGGCUCAGAUUGAACGCUGGCGGCAUGCCUUACACAUGCAAGUCGAACGGCAGCACGGGAGCAAUCCUGGUGGCGAGUGGCGAACGGGUGAGUAAUACAUCGGAACGUGCCCAGUUGUGGGGGAUAGCCCGGCGAAAGCCGGAUUAAUACCGCAUACGACCUGUGGGUGAAAGCGGGGGAUCGCAAGACCUCGCGCAAUUGGAGCGGCCGAUGUCAGAUUAGCUUGUUGGUGGGGUAAAAGCCUACCAAGGCGACGAUCUGUAGCUGGUCUGAGAGGACGACCAGCCACACUGGGACUGAGACACGGCCCAGACUCCUACGGGAGGCAGCAGUGGGGAAUUUUGGACAAUGGGCGCAAGCCUGAUCCAGCCAUGCCGCGUGUGGGAAGAAGGCCUUCGGGUUGUAAACCACUUUUGUCAGGGAAGAAACGGCUCGAUCUAAUAAAUUGGGCUAAUGACGGUACCUGAAGAAUAAGCACCGGCUAACUACGUGCCAGCAG
RNAcentral lists this ribosomal RNA (511 nucleotides) under uncultured Burkholderiales bacterium. RNAcentral describes it as "bacterial SSU rRNA". It matches the Rfam family "Bacterial small subunit ribosomal RNA", at positions 8 to 514 of the family's 1533-position model. The record is from RNAcentral. Lineage: Bacteria; Pseudomonadati; Pseudomonadota; Betaproteobacteria; Burkholderiales.